UGCCGGGUGGUGUAAUUGGCAACACGUCUGGCUCUGAACCAGAAGACUCUAGGUUCGAUUCCUAGCCCGGCAGCCA
This 76-nucleotide transfer RNA is filed under the name Acidobacteriota bacterium. RNAcentral's name for it is "tRNA-Gln". It matches the Rfam family "tRNA". From Rfam's summary of the family: Transfer RNA (tRNA) molecules are approximately 80 nucleotides in length. Lineage: Bacteria; Pseudomonadati; Acidobacteriota. The record is from RNAcentral. RNAcentral also lists the same sequence under 1 other name.